GUUGGAUAGAAAUGUUCAUAGCAGCAUUAUGCAUAAUUGCUAAAAUCCUGAAGCAACUUAAUGCCCAUCAACUGAUGAAUUAAUGAACAAAAUGUGGUAUAUUUCCAAAACAUGUUCAGACAUAAAAAGGAAUAAGUAUUGCUACAUGAUAUAAUAUAGAUGAAUCUUGAAAACACUGUGCUAAUGGAAAGAAGCCAGUCACAAAAGGCUACAAUAUGGCUUGAUUCCACUGACAUGAAUUAUCCAAACUGCGUAAAUUUGUAGAGACAAAAACUAGAUUUCUGGUUGUCAGGAGAUGAGAGAAGGGAAGAAUUGGGACUCACUGCUAAUCAGUAAAGGGUUUCUUUUUGGGGUGGCAGAGAUAAUCAAGAGUGAGACACUAGUGAUGGUCACAAUACAUAGUUAAUAUACUAAAAAUCACUGAAUUAUAUGCUUUUAAACAGUGGAUUUUAUGUUAUAUAGAUUAUAUCACAAUAAAAAAUAAAUUGAGAGAAACCUCUCAUAAGAGAUUAAAUUUGACUCUAUGGGAUUCAUCCUAACUGUGGGACCAGAGUGGGUUAAGGGCUGAGAUUCACUUAUCUUCUUUCUGAGUUAUUGUCAUCUGAGAUAUUCCUGGCCUUUUAAUCUCUAAAAUUUGCAGUGGAAGCAUCCCCCACCUCACCCACUGGGCAUCAGGUCCUAAGAAGUUCUUCUGAUUCAGUAUUUUCUCAGCCUUUUAGUCUCAACUUCCCCACUGAGUGCCAUUCUAAUGCUAUAGUAAGUGUGGACCUAGCCAUGUAGCCAACACUGUAUCCUAGGAGCUGAUAGUUUUGGUCCUGAGACACAAUGGCUGCUGUCACUCACUACAGAAUUGCUUAGGCCUGUGAAACCUGGCUCCCAGUGAAGAUUCUCCUGCCCCUCAGUCCCCAGAACUUUUCCAGCUGGAGAGCAAUUCUCGGGAAUUUCCCAUUCCCGAGAAAGAGUCAGGCUGUAGCUGCUGAAAGAAAUGCAGAUAUAGAGAAUUCAUCUAACUGAAACUGAACAGAAUGAGAAGUUGGAGAGAAUAAGUUUGGAAUUUAAGUUGGGAUUUGAGGCUUUACUUUCUUUGGAUUCAUACUGCUCAACAAAGACAGCAGGAAUUUUUCAGACUUUAGCUUUUAUGGACUUUAAGGUAAGAAUUUGGAUUUCUUAUUUAAGCAAGUUCCUUAAAUAAAGCUGCUUCUGGUGAACUGCAUUCCUUGCAGCCUCAUGGAAAAAAAUCUCUCAUGAUUACUCCCCAAGAGAUGAUGUUUCCUCUGGUUUAGGAUGCUACAGGCUCUGAACAUUUUCUGUCUGUCAUGUCUUUUAUGAUAUACGUCUCAAGUGUUUUCAUUUUCUCCACUAGUAGUUUCAGGAAGACUGAGCUGAUUAACCUACCUGAGAGGUUUCUUUUCUUCUGCCAAGUAGGAUCAUGAUGUUGGCAGGAUCUGAGUUCUUUCUGUUUACGUUUCCAUUGCUCUCAGGCCCAGACAUUUUACUAGUAUAUUCUGCUAGAUUGUGGUUAAUAGAGUUUUCCAUGGUGAGAUAUAUGAAAAUAGCAGGUUCUGGGUCUGUCGAAAAUAGCAGGUUCUGGGUCUGUCAAAAAUAUCUGCUGUUCAAACAUAUUUUGUCUACAGUCAAGCUUCCUGGGAAGAUGAUCCAUCCCAGAAGAUACCCCUCCAUCACCCAACAUCUAUAAUGCGCUCAGUACAUAUUAUAGUUCUUCUGUCCACACCCCUCCAAUAUAAAUGAUCUUUUCUGUGCCUUACCUCGAGUCCUAACCAAAAAUUGCUUGGGGAUGUUUCUUCAGGGAACGGUGUAUAAUACAUCAUCACCUUAAGUCACCUCCUUUUUUUUAGUUUUUUAUGCUGCUCUGCCCCACGUUUGCCCUCAAAUUUGUUCUAAUAUUGUGUAACCAAGUCAUACAGUUGUCUCAAUAUUUG
This 1940-nucleotide long non-coding RNA is filed under the name Homo sapiens (human). Its description in RNAcentral is "HSALNT0136333". Lineage: Eukaryota; Metazoa; Chordata; Mammalia; Primates; Hominidae. The record is from RNAcentral.